UGUGCACUCAGUGUAUAUCUGUACUAUACAGCUGCUUAUGGCUAUUUCUGAGAAGAGGAAACCCCUAAACUAAUUAUUGUGGUCAGGUCAGGACAGCAUACUUAAUAACAUGUUGCUUAGCAGAGAGGAACUGGACAGGACAUGCGAUUAUAAAGGCCAGCCAUGGAGGACAGGAGACUUCCCCCUACAGUGCCCUUAGUGGUCAAAACUGAGCCAGACACAGAGACCCGUAGGGUGAGAGAGGAGGAACAGCCUACCAUUCCCAUCAGGGUUAAAAAAGAGGACCUCUCUGAAGUGCCCCUCAAAGUGCCCAGAUUCAAGUACGUGGACUUCCCUUCGCUACACCAGUGCAUCCAGCAGCUCACUGUGCCACCCCUGGACAGCUGGCUGGAAGGCUUUCCCCUGGCUCUGGGAAGACCCUCUGGAGGACACACCCCUGUCACUUCCAAGGAGAGAGUUCCCAAGUUUCGGUAUGUAGAUUAUCCCUCCCUGCACCACUGCAUCCAGCAGCUGUCUGUGCCGCCUCUGGAGAGCUGGAGCUCGGGGUUGGCCAGGUCAGGGUGUGGGGUGACAGGUGGACCUGGAUCCACCAACCCUCAGCCCAGCUCUGUGAGGGAGAAUCAGACAAUACAGGGAGAUGGUUCAGCAUCGGCUCACAAACAGGACAAGUAUACUGCUUUCCCCUUUCCUGGUCCUGACUCCGGCUCCAUCCAGUGUGUGACCUCCUCAAACAAGGCAUCCCAUAAGCCUCAGCGGCUUCAGCUGCGCUUGAGCAGUCCAACCGGAACCAGGCCCGCAUUAAGCUCACAGGGGGAAGAGGCUCGCCAUAAGGUGGUGUGUUCAGAUCAGCUGUCUCAAAAGUUCUCUAAUCCCAAAUCUUGGGUUGCUGGAAUGAAGCGUGUCAGAGGAGCGGGCCCACUCCAUCAGAGCAAUAGGAAGUCAGCUGGUGAUGAUGAAUGGCAUGCAGACCUAAAGAAAACUCCACAAAGUCAUCAAGAGGCCCAAGUAAAGCUAAGUGACUCUCCUGACCUAGGACAAGGGUUUUGGAGAACCAUCCCAGAGUCUGUCUGCCCCUUUUGCCAAAAGAUGUUUUCAGAUCCAGAGGAAUUGCGGAUCCACCAGAAGAGUCACAGAGAAAAGAAGCCUCAUUGAUGUCUUGACCAAGGAAAUGUACAGCUGACAACAAUGAACAUCUUAAAAACUGUGCAUCUACUUCAGUACUUGCUACACAGGCGUGGACUAGGGCUGGCUUCUCCACAAAUGAUUGGUCACCUGAUAAGAUUUCCACUGAGGUUGUUUUGAGUGUUCAGUGUUAAUCUUGAUGACCUAAGUGACUGACUAUAAACAAACCACUUUAGCUAAGGGCUUCAUUCAUAAUUCAGUCUAGGAAUUAAGCUCUCAAUGUGAAAAACUGACCUGCAGUGGCUCUUGGUGGUCUUACAACUCCUUAUUUACCUAUGGGUUAAUUUGCCAGGAGGUGGUACACAUUAGAUGAGAUAGAACAAGGAAAUGAGCCAUUUGAUGUUGUUUAAAUUAAAAUGUCAGGAAUUAGAUUGAAAUGCAAUGCAGUGCAUACAUUUUUGUAUUACUGUAGUUGAGAAUUAGACUUUCAUUUAUUUUCCUUAAAAGGGAUGCCAAUGUUUUCCUGUUUACAAGCUGUUCUUGGCAGAAACAUUAAUAAGUGGGGGUAUCAGCACCUUGUUCACUGGAGAUGGCUGCCUGUUCCAAUAUUUCAACAUAAUUAUCUAGAUUUGGGUGCCUAUAAAACCUUUAACUUUUGGCUUAUGCUGCGAAACAACACAUGCUUCUUUAUAAUUUCUUAUCUAAUGUUUUUAUGCUUUGUAUUUUAAUGUUUCUUUUUUACCAUGACAAUUAUAUGUAUAUUAUUGAUUGUAUUGUCUAGAAAUAACUUUAAACUUUUCUUAAACUUUGUUUUAAAUUCUGUGUGCAUUAAAGAUUUUCUAGUAAAG
This 1970-nucleotide long non-coding RNA is filed under the name Salmo salar (Atlantic salmon). RNAcentral's name for it is "lncRNA (ENSSSAG00000108439.1)". The record is from RNAcentral. Lineage: Eukaryota; Metazoa; Chordata; Actinopteri; Salmoniformes; Salmonidae.